RNAcentral lists this unclassified non-coding RNA (253 nucleotides) under uncultured Bacteroidota bacterium. RNAcentral's name for it is "uncultured Bacteroidetes bacterium contains 16S-23S intergenic spacer region". It matches the Rfam family "Bacterial small subunit ribosomal RNA", at positions 524 to 776 of the family's 1533-position model. Lineage: Bacteria; Pseudomonadati; Bacteroidota. The record is from RNAcentral.
UACGGAGGGUGCAAGCGUUGUCCGGAAUCACUGGGUGUAAAGGGUGUGCAGGCGGGACGACCAGUCAGAGGUGAAAGCCCCCGGCUCAACCGGGGAAUGGCCUUUGAUACUGUCGUUCUUGAGUCCUGGAGGGGCUGCCGGAAUUCGUGGUGUAGCGGUGAAAUGCGUAGAUAUCACGAGGAACACCAGAGGUGUAGACGGGCAGCUGGACAGGUACUGACGCUGAGGCACGAAAGCGUGGGGAGCAAACAGG